UGGGGAAUCUUGCACAAUGGGCGGAAGCCUGAUGCAGCGACGCCGCGUGGGGGAUGACGGCCUUCGGGUUGUAAACUCCUUUCGCCAGGGACGAAGCCGUGAGGUGACGGUACCUGGAUAAGAAGCACCGGCUAACUACGUGCCAGCAGCCGCGGUAAUACGUAGGGUGCGAGCGUUGUCCGGAAUUACUGGGCGUAAAGAGCUCGUAGGUGGUUUGUCGCGUCGUCUGUGAAAUUCCGGGGCUUAACUCCGGGCGUGCAGGCGAUACGGGCAUAACUUGGGUGCUGUAGGGGAGACUGGAAUUCCUGGUGUAGCGGUGAAAUGCGCAGAUAUCAGGAGGAACACCGAUGGCGAAGGCAGGUCUCUGGGCAGUAACUGACGCGGAGGAGCGAAAGCAUGGGUAGCGAACAGG
This 412-nucleotide ribosomal RNA is filed under the name Bacillota bacterium. Its description in RNAcentral is "Firmicutes bacterium partial 16S ribosomal RNA". It matches the Rfam family "Bacterial small subunit ribosomal RNA", at positions 355 to 776 of the family's 1533-position model. Lineage: Bacteria; Bacillati; Bacillota. The record is from RNAcentral.